RNAcentral lists this ribosomal RNA (225 nucleotides) under Rossellomorea marisflavi. Its description in RNAcentral is "Bacillus marisflavi partial 16S ribosomal RNA". It matches the Rfam family "Bacterial small subunit ribosomal RNA", at positions 1317 to 1533 of the family's 1533-position model. The record is from RNAcentral. Lineage: Bacteria; Bacillati; Bacillota; Bacilli; Caryophanales; Bacillaceae. RNAcentral also lists the same sequence under 1 other name.
UACAUGAAGCUGGAAUCGCUAGUAAUCGCGGAUCAGCAUGCCGCGGUGAAUACGUUCCCGGGCCUUGUACACACCGCCCGUCACACCACGAGAGUUUGUAACACCCGAAGUCGGUGAGGUAACCUUUUGGAGCCAGCCGCCUAAGGUGGGACAGAUGAUUGGGGUGAAGUCGUAACAAGGUAGCCGUAUCGGAAGGUGCGGCUGGAUCACCUCCUUUCUAAGGAA